CAUAUUUGGAGUUUUGGACAACUAAAACUUCUGAGGCCCAACCGUUUGACUAGCACCCAACCUCCCUUUCCUUUCGUUCUCCGCCUCCGACCAGAAGCCUCAUCCUCUUCGUUCUCCGCCUCCGACCAGAACUCGAUCCUCCUCUCUUCCUUCUCUGCCUCGAACCAGCUCCUCUGCUUGAAGACGGUGAAGGGAAUCGAAGUUCGAGGGAUUUGUGAGCUUUUGUGUCAUAGGUUUGCGAGAAACAAGCAUUCUUCAUUGAGCUUUCUGGGCAAGUUCGAGCUUGGUGGGUUUGUGACCAUGUAAUUGCAAUUCAUCUUCUGAGUUUUCUGGGCAUUCUCCAUCUCUGAGGAGACUUCGAUUCUGUGUUCUCUGCCUAUGAAGGUUUCUGUAGCUUGAAGUAGGUUGAUCUUGGUUUUCAAGGUUUCUGAUCUUGGUUUAUAUGCUUACAACAGGCUUCCUUCUGAGUUAAUGGUGUUAAUGGUGAGUCACUGUGAGUCUGUGACUAAAUUCUUUGUUUUCUGUUUGGGUCAUGUGAAUUUUCGGUCUUCAAUUUUAGGGUUUUUGGUAAUUGAUCGAAAAUUGAAUUAUAAAUGGGUGGAGAUUCGGGGAUAUCUGCUUGAAUGAGAUUUAGAAUGCAGAUUUGUGAUAUGGUUGCAGAACAUCUGUGGAGAAGAAUUCAAAGAAUUCAUAUGUAGAAGGUGAGGAAAGAUCUCUUGGUGUAUACUUUCUUUUAGUUAUCUUACCUUCUAUCGGUUGGUUGCAGAACUUGGAAGGUAUGGUAGUCAAAUUGGUUAGAGGAAUACAUUUGCACUUUCAUAUAAUUAAAUGACUCUAACUUGUCAAAUUGUCUUCGUAAUUGUUUGCUAUUGUUGAUUGCGGUCUCUUGUCAUACUGGAAUCAAUGUCAUACACAGGCACACAGCAACCUCAGAUUGCAGAACUAGAUAUAUCAGUUUGACACUUCAGCUUAGCGUGUUAUUUAUUUUACUAUAUAUCAACUAGCUGUGUAUUCGAUCUUAUUUGGGAUUGACUAUUAUUGGGUAGGCAGGUGAGGUCAUGAAAUUUGAGUACCAAAAGAAGGUCGCCUCGCUGAGCAAGCUGAAGAAAUGUAGUACUAACUCAGAAGCAUUGGAGAAAUCAAGAGCAGCAGUGAGUCAUCUACAUAUAAGAUACAUAGUUGACAUGCAAUCCAUGGAUCCAACAGUAUCAAAGAUAAACUCUUUUCGUUCAGCUUGUUGCAGGAUAGAAAACUCUAGGAUAUCAUACUGAAUGCAGCCGAUGCAACAGGCUUCAUGGACAGUUUUGUGGAGACUGUUUGUACAUGAGCAAAAGAAGUUACUAUAUGUUGCAAUGACUCGUGCUCGAACAGAACUCUUCAUCCAUUCCAAUUGGUGAAAACAGAAGAACAAAUGGGAUAUAAGUAUGGCGAAACUUGCUUUCGUUUAUGUUUCUAGUAUUAUGUACCGUUUAGACUUAAAUUUUUGUUUCAUUUCGACAUGUUAUGCAUAGAAAUACUUGGGAUGUUGUUAUGUACUUUGAGCAUCAAUAUUAAUCAAAAUUUAUUUACUUACGA
Molecule: long non-coding RNA, 1575 nt
Organism: Rosa chinensis
Lineage: Eukaryota; Viridiplantae; Streptophyta; Magnoliopsida; Rosales; Rosaceae
Exons: 7
Source: RefSeq, a predicted model, not a curated record